Molecule: ribosomal RNA, 622 nt
Filed under: uncultured Lachnospiraceae bacterium
Lineage: Bacteria; Bacillati; Bacillota; Clostridia; Lachnospirales; Lachnospiraceae
Description: bacterial SSU rRNA
Rfam family: Bacterial small subunit ribosomal RNA
Source: RNAcentral
GGUGACUGAGUGGCGGACGGGUGAGUAACGCGUGGGUAACCUGCCCUGUACAGGGGGAUAACAGUUGGAAACGGCUGCUAAUACCGCAUAAGCGCACGAGAGGACAUCCUCUUGUGUGAAAAACUCCGGUGGUACAGGAUGGGCCCGCGUCUGAUUAGCUGGUUGGCAGGGUAACGGCCUACCAAGGCGACGAUCAGUAGCCGGUCUGAGAGGAUGAACGGCCACAUUGGAACUGAGACACGGUCCAAACUCCUACGGGAGGCAGCAGUGGGGAAUAUUGCACAAUGGGGGAAACCCUGAUGCAGCAACGCCGCGUGAGUGAAGAAGUAUUUCGGUAUGUAAAGCUCUAUCAGCAGGGAAGAUAAUGACGGUACCUGACUAAGAAGCUCCGGCUAAAUACGUGCCAGCAGCCGCGGUAAUACGUAUGGAGCAAGCGUUAUCCGGAUUUACUGGGUGUAAAGGGUGCGUAGGUGGCAGUGCAAGUCAGAUGUGAAAGGCCGGGGCUCAACCCCGGAGCUGCAUUUGAAACUGCGCGGCUAGAGUACAGGAGAGGCAGGCGGAAUUCCUAGUGUAGCGGUGAAAUGCGUAGAUAUUAGGAGGAACACCAGUGGCGAAGGCGGCC